AUUGAACGCUGGCGGCAGGCCUAACACAUGCAAGUCGAGCGGAUGAAGGGAGCUUGUUCCUGGAUUCAGCUGGGGACGGGUGAGUGAUGCCUAGGAAUCUGCCUGGUAGUGAGGGAUAACGUCCGGAAAUGGGCGCUGAUACCACAUCCGUACAGAGUGAGAAAGUGAGGGAUCUUCUGACCACACCCUCUCAGCUGAGCCUAGGUCGGAUUAGCUAGUUGGUGGGGUAAAGGCCUACCAAGGCGACGAUCCGUAACUGGUCUGAGAGGAUGAUCAGUCACACUGGAACUGAGACACGGUCCAGACUCCUACGGGAGGCAGCAGUGGGGAAUAUUGGACAAAGGGCGAAAGCCUGAUGCAGCCAUGCCGCGUGUGUGAAGAAGGUCUUCGGAUUGUAAAGCACUUUAAGUUGGGAGGAAGGGAAGUAAGUUAAUACCUUGCUGUAUUGACGUUACCAACAGAAUAAGCACCGGCUAACUUCGUG
This 484-nucleotide ribosomal RNA is filed under the name uncultured bacterium. Its description in RNAcentral is "partial 16S ribosomal RNA". It matches the Rfam family "Bacterial small subunit ribosomal RNA", at positions 30 to 507 of the family's 1533-position model. The record is from RNAcentral.